RNAcentral lists this ribosomal RNA (301 nucleotides) under uncultured bacterium. RNAcentral describes it as "partial 16S ribosomal RNA". It matches the Rfam family "Bacterial small subunit ribosomal RNA", at positions 509 to 808 of the family's 1533-position model. The record is from RNAcentral.
CAGUAGCCGCGGUAAUACAGAGGGUGCGAGCGUUAAUCGGAUUUACUGGGCGUAAAGGGCUCGUAGGUGGUUUGUCGCGUCGUCUGUGAAAUUCUGGGGCUUAACUCCGGGCGUGCAGGCGAUACGGGCAUAACUUGAGUGCUGUAGGGGUAACUGGAAUUCCUGGUGUAGCGGUGAAAUGCGCAGAUAUCAGGAGGAACACCGAUGGCGAAGGCAGGUUACUGGGCAGUUACUGACGCUGAGGAGCGAAAGCAUGGGUAGCGAACAGGAUUAGAUACCCCUGUAGUCCCUGUCUCUUAUU